RNAcentral lists this unclassified non-coding RNA (2211 nucleotides) under Hevea brasiliensis (rubber tree). The record is from RNAcentral. Lineage: Eukaryota; Viridiplantae; Streptophyta; Magnoliopsida; Malpighiales; Euphorbiaceae.
GGCGCCUUCUCUAUCUGCAACCUUUGCCUAAAAUACCAAACCACGAAGCUCUACUGCUUCAAUUCUCAAAUUUGCACGUUUCAAUUCCUUCUUCUUUCAUUUCAAUGGCGCUAACUCAAAAUCCCAAACCCACCACAAUCCUCAUAUCCUCCGUCUCUAAUCACUUUUACCCCGCCACUUCACUUACACUUCCAAAUCCACUCAGAACCAAGACCAACUCGCAGUUCUUUAGCGCCAUUCCUUCAAGCAUUCACAAUCUUCAGCAGCCAUUACCAAUCUUCUCUAGAAGAUUGUUUCUCCCUGCAGUGUCUGGCAUCUGGGAUGCCGUAACAGGUGGCAACAAUGCCCGUGAAGCCGUUGUGGCGAUCAGACGCGGAAUGUUACUCUUUAGACAGGGUGAUGUUUUGGGGUCUUUGGCGGAAUUCGAUAAGGCAAUAGAGUUGGAUCCUCGUCAAAAGGCUUAUCUUUGGCAAAGGGGGCUCUCUCUUUACUAUCUAGAUAGAUUUGAAGAAGGGGCAGAGCAGUUUCGAUUAGAUGUUGCCCAAAAUCCAAACGACACAGAGGAGUCAAUAUGGUGCUUUCUUUGUGAAGCUCAGCUGUAUGGAGUUGAUGAUGCAAGGAAGCAAUUUCUUGAGGUUGGCAGAGAUCCACGACCUGUCAUGCGGGAGGCUUAUAACAUGUUUAAAGAUGGUGGUGAUCCAGAAAAGCUUAUCACGGCAUUUUCAAAUGGCCCAGAUAAUGAAUAUUUCUAUGCUUCUUUAUAUGCUGGGCUAUAUCAUGAAUCCCAGAAUAAACCAGAUGCGGCCAAAUUUCAUAUAGUUGCUGCAUGUAUGUCUCCUUAUGGACAAAGGUCUGAUGAUUAUAUGGCGGCUCUUUGCAAAGUUCACUGUCUAUGUCGAAACUGGAGUAUCAACUGAUAUUUCGCUCCAACUUGGAAACUACAGUUCUUGAUAGUUCUUCUUAUUCUGAUUUUGAUGUUCUUCGGAAUGUUAAGAAAUCAUUUUAAGGCAUUACUGAGGACCUUCAGACUGAGAAAGUGAUAGCGGUGGCACAUGAAGUUGCAGGGCUCUAUAAGCUAGAUAAAUCUAGUUUUUUGGCUUCUAGUAUAAACGAUUGUUUGUUGAGUCUGCAAAACAAUUUCUUGAUUUCUUCACCUGUAAAUACCAUGAUCUCUAAUUCAAGAAUCAAUAAAGAGAAUUACAUUUGUUCUAGUUCUACUGUUGUUUCCAAAGUUGAUAUCUCUACUUUACAUGCUAGAUUAGGGCAUGUGUCAGUCAAGAAAAUGAAUCACAUUUUGGGAAUUGAAGGGUGUAUUUCAGGAGACAAAUCUUUUGAUUGUUUUGUGUGUCCUUUGGCAAAACAAAGUAGAUUGCCCUUUCCUUUUAGAGAGACACAAGCACAACAUGAGUUUGAGUUAGUUCAUAUAAAUAUUUGGGGACCUUAUAAAGUUACUUCAGUCACUGAGGCCAAAUAUUUUCUUACCAUAGUUGAUGAUAAGACUAGGGCUACUUGGACUUACAUGUUACAUAACAAGUCUCAAAAUGUUGCUACUAUAUCUAAAUUUCUUCAGUUGGUCAACACUCAAUUUGAUGCUAUGGUCAAGAUUAUUAGGACUGAUAAUGGUGCUGAGUUUGUAAAUAAUAAUUUUGCUCAACUGGUGUCUGAUAGAGGUAUAAUUCAUCAAAGAACAUGUCCCUAUACCCCACAGCAGAAUGGGAUUUUUGAAAGAAAACAUAGGCAUCUUCUAGAUACUGCCAAAGCUUUAAGGAUACAAGCACAAUUACCUAAAGAGUUUUGGUCAGAAUGUGUCUUAACAGCCACAUAUACCAUCAAUAGGUUGCCUAUGCAAAAAUUUAAUUGGCUCAUACCAUAUGAGCUACUUUACCAUACACCACCAGAUUAUAGUCAUAUGAGAGUGUUUGGUUGUUUGUGUUAUGCUGUCAAUCUCAAUCCUUACAAGGAUAAGUUUGAUGAUAGGGCAAUUCAAUCUGUUUUCAUUGGUUAUUCAGGAGUGAAUAAAGGGUAUAAGUUGUAUAGUUUGAAGGAUAAGAAAAUAUAUGUAAGUAGCAGUGUUAUCAAAGGCGAGCCAGGCGCCCAGCCGAUGCGAGGCCCUCCUCUGUCGCAUCGACUGGAACGCCUAGCUGGAUUUUGGGGAGGCGACGCCUUAGGCCGAAGAGGCGAGAGGCUACGCAGGCGAGAGGCGACGCCUCU